ACUCUGGCCUGUCAUUGGGGAGUAGCCGCCGCCCGGAUUAGAUCCGGCGGGCCCGCGUCAACACACUUGGUCCACAUGACCAUGGCGCGCGCAGUACCGAAGUUCCAACACCUGGCAAGACCUUUGACCACAUCGACCUGCAUCGCGGCUGGUCUCGGUGUGGUCAAUGGUUUUUCGUGUUGAGCAACAAG
Paucibacter sp. KCTC 42545 is the source of this 191-nucleotide non-coding RNA. The record is from Rfam. Lineage: Bacteria; Pseudomonadati; Pseudomonadota; Betaproteobacteria; Burkholderiales; Sphaerotilaceae.